AACGAACGCUGGCGGCAUGCCUAACACAUGCAAGUCGAACGAGACCUUCGGGUCUAGUGGCGCACGGGUGCGUAACGCGUGGGAACCUGCCCUUAGGUUCGGAAUAACUCCCCGAAAGGGGUGCUAAUACCGGAUAAUGUCUUCGGACCAAAGAUUUAUCGCCUUUGGAUGGGCCCGCGUUGGAUUAGCUAGUUGGUAGAGUAAAAGCCUACCAAGGCGACGAUCCAUAGCUGGUCUGAGAGGAUGAUCAGCCACACUGGGACUGAGACACGGCCCAGACUCCUACGGGAGGCAGCAGUGGGGAAUAUUGGACAGUGGGCGAAAGCCUGAUCCAGCAAUGCCGCGUGAGUGAUGAAGGCCUUAGGGUUGUAAAGCUCUUUUACCCGGGAUGAUAAUGACAGUACCGGGAGAAUAAGCUCCGGCUAACUCCGUG
This 433-nucleotide ribosomal RNA is filed under the name uncultured bacterium. RNAcentral describes it as "partial 16S ribosomal RNA". It matches the Rfam family "Bacterial small subunit ribosomal RNA", at positions 29 to 507 of the family's 1533-position model. The record is from RNAcentral.